CCUACGUGCGGCUGCAGUGAGGAAUAUUGGUCAAUGGAUGAAAAUCUGAACCAGCCAAGUAGCGUGCAGGAUGACGGCCCUAUGGGUUGUAAACUGCUUUUAUGUGAGAAUAAAGUUAGGUAUGUAUACUUAUUUGCAUGUAUCACAUGAAUAAGGACCGGCUAAUUCCGUGCCAGCAGCCGCGGUAAUACGGAAGGUCCAGGCGUUAUCCGGAUUUAUUGGGUUUAAAGGGUGCGUAGGCCGUUUGAUAAGCGUGCUGUGAAAUAUAGUGGCUCAACCUCUAUCGUGCAGCGCGAACUGUUGAACUUGAGUGCGUAGUAGGUAGGCGGAAUUCGUGGUGUAGCGGUGAAAUGCUUAGAUAUCACGAAGAACUCCGAUUGCGAAGGCAGCUUACCGUAACGUUACUGACGCUUAAGCACGAAGGUGCGGGUAUCGAACAGGAUUAGAUACCCUUGUAGUC
RNAcentral lists this ribosomal RNA (460 nucleotides) under uncultured Prevotella sp. RNAcentral's name for it is "bacterial SSU rRNA". It matches the Rfam family "Bacterial small subunit ribosomal RNA", at positions 338 to 795 of the family's 1533-position model. The record is from RNAcentral. Lineage: Bacteria; Pseudomonadati; Bacteroidota; Bacteroidia; Bacteroidales; Prevotellaceae.